UUAUGAUCCGCAUUCUCUAAAUUACGACUAUCCUGGAAGAGAUAGUGUAAUGCCCUUGAAAAGGCAAUGGAUAUCCAAAGAAAUAAAAAGCUUUUAUGCAUGCGCAUGCACAUGAGAAUAUGGGAUCACGGAUAACCAAUGGUAAUUUUGGUUCUUACAAGUAGCUACUAAAAUCAUCAAUGAGCUGUGUUGAUAUUGAGUCU
This 203-nucleotide long non-coding RNA is filed under the name Malus domestica (apple). RNAcentral's name for it is "long non-coding RNA (MDOM_LNC002868)". The record is from RNAcentral. Lineage: Eukaryota; Viridiplantae; Streptophyta; Magnoliopsida; Rosales; Rosaceae.